AACGAGCGCUGGCAGCAGGCCUAACACAUGCAAGUCGAACGCACCGCAAGGUGAGUGGCGCACGGGUGAGUAACACGUGGGAAUGUACCCUUUGGUUCGGAAUAACGUUUGGAAACGAACGCUAAUACCGGAUGAGCCCUGUGGGGGAAAGAUUUAUCGCCAAAGGAGCAGCCCGCGUCUGAUUAGCUAGUUGGUGGGGUAAAGGCCUACCAAGGCGACGAUCAGUAGCUGGUCUGAGAGGAUGAUCAGCCACACUGGGACUGAGACACGGCCCAGACUCCUACGGGAGGCAGCAGUGGGGAAUAUUGGACAAUGGGCGGAAGCCUGAUCCAGCCAUGCCGCGUGAGUGAUGAAGGCCUUCGGGUUGUAAGACUCUUUCGUCACGCGACGAUGAUGACGGUAGCGUGAGAAGAAG
RNAcentral lists this ribosomal RNA (415 nucleotides) under uncultured bacterium. RNAcentral describes it as "bacterial SSU rRNA". It matches the Rfam family "Bacterial small subunit ribosomal RNA", at positions 29 to 490 of the family's 1533-position model. The record is from RNAcentral.